Oryctolagus cuniculus (rabbit) is the source of this 33340-nucleotide non-coding RNA. The record is from RefSeq and is a predicted model, not a curated record. Lineage: Eukaryota; Metazoa; Chordata; Mammalia; Lagomorpha; Leporidae.
GUUUCCAACUGGACAGAUGACAGAAUUUACGCAAAACACUUAAGGAAGGAGAAGGUCCUAAACUCGAAAAGUGCCGACCAAAGGGACGAAAAAAGCCGGGCUGGGCUGGGGGCAAGUGGGGAGCGGGCAGGCCGCCGACUGGUCAAUAGUUUGCAUCUGUCGGUGCACCAGCACCAACUCUGCGCGGCACCGGCCGGCACGGGCCGGCGCACCGCGUCUCAGCGAGCGCACGCCGGCGCCUAGGGGGCAGACCGCGGGGUGAGCAAGUGGAGGAAGCUGCCCAACCCCAGCGGAAACGGCAAGAGGCCCCGAGACGGCCGGCUGCCAGUGAGGGAGGAAGCCUGCACCCAGACAGCCCACCCGACCCCAUGGGGAGGAGCUGCCAUCGCGCGGGGGCGAGUUUCAGGGCUCGAGACGGCCGGUUCGGGCGAGGGCCGCUGCCCCGCGGCCGUUGGGUCCCCCUCGGACCGACGCUCCUGUCCCUCCUCAGAGCUCUGAGCUCACAGGUUGUGCAACCUGUUCUAGGCCAUGGGAAGGCACUAAAGACUGUAUGCUGCACCCCAAAGAGCUACUGAUCCACAGGGAAGUACCUGGAUGGGCAAGAUACUAAACACUAUUCUGAACACCUUCUGAAUGAAAGCUACUAAGAUCUUCAAGUUCAUGGGGGAAAUUCGACAGUACAACAAUAGGAAAGAGACUGUAGAAGUUGUCCAUUCCAACAUCUUCAUUCUUCACAUAAAAAAUUGAGAUUCCAAAGAUCAAAGUUUUACAGUUCACCCCUCUGACUACAAAGGAGUGUCUGCAGGAGCAGUCAAGUCUUACCCAAGGAGCAUCAUUAACGUCGCAUAUAUUACCCAUUCUCUCUUUUCAAAGAAAAAAUAGUACAGCAGCAGUUUAUAGAUCAAGUCUUGCCCUCAUAUGUGUGCCUGACAUUUUAGAUGCUGAAGAUAUCAAAGAAUGGCUGCUUUCUUAUGUGAAUGAAGGAUAAUGAUGUUCCAAGUGAUCUUGGAAACAGAAUCUGUUUAUCUCAGGUAUUCAUGAAAAUAUCUGGACUUUCCAUUGGUGCUGACGUGUUAACAAAGAAUAAGAGCACAUAUGUCCAAGGGAAAUCAUAAGAAGCCAAGGAGAGUGGAGAAUGAUCAAAAGGUGAUCAGGUGGUACAGAUGUUUCCACCUCAACACCCUCCCUUCGGCAAAGAAUUUCCUGGGCUGGAGUCCUGGCUCUGAUUUUGAACUCAGCUUCCUGCUAAUGCAUAUCCUGGAAGGCAGAGGGCAGCUGAAGUGCUUGUGUUCCUGCAGCCUAAUGGAAGACAUGGAUGGAAUUCCUGGUUCUUGGCUCCUGGCUUUGAUUUGGCUCAGCCCUAAAUAUUGCAGGAAUUUGAAUUGACUUGCUAAUUUCAUUUGGAACCUUAAAACAACAUGAAAGAUCAUAUUCUAUGGCAUAACUACUGCUACAAGGCUCAACUUCGAGGCCACCCAUGUGCUGGUGGGAGAUUUGAAGUCAGGAUUACCCUCGCCAUCUGGAUUUUUUAAGCAAACCUACUUCUCUACCUCAGAUUCAACAGGCAUGAAUUCUGAAAAAAACAAUUCUCUACCCCCUUUUACUGGUUUUCUUUUUCAGAAAUGCCCUUUUCUGAAGAAAAUAAAUGAAGUCAAUGACAGUUAUGACUUAAAUUGACUUUAUUGUAUCCAUCAACUUAUUCUUAGGUUUAUAGUAACACAACAUUUAAUGUGAGUUUAUUGUUUUCUCAGUCUCUUGGUGCUUUUUCAGAGUUAAAUAGUCUACAAGGAGCACUUCAAUUCUGUUCUUGAGUUAAAUUUAGAAUAACUAUCAUUAGUUAGAAAUGCAUUCCUUUUAACUUUAAAAUAGUUUUUUUUUUUUUAAGAACUUAAUCCUUUCUUUUUUAAAAAAUAGCACAUUUAUUCGUUUAUUUGCAAGGCAGAGUUACAGAGAGGCAGAGGGAGGGAGAGAGAGAGGUGGGGGGGGGAGAGAGAGAGGUCUUCCACCUGCUGGCUCACUCCCCAAAUGUCUACAACAGUUGGAGCUAGGCCGAUCCAAAGCCAGGAGUCAGGAGUUUCUUCUGGUCACUCAUGGGGGUUCAGGGGCCCAAGGACUUGCACCAUCUUUUGGCGCUUUCCCAGGCACAUUAGUAGGGAGCUGCAUUGGAGGCAAAGCAGCCAGGACUUGAGCCAGUGCCCAAAUGGGAUGCUGGUACUGUAGGUGGCAGCUUUAUCUGCUAUGCCACAGCACAGCCCUUGUCCUGAUUCUUGAUUGUGUUGAUGCUUACAUGCUUAUACACAUUCGCAAGGGUAACAGAUGCCCCCAGUGAAAACAAGAGGCAGAUGAUUUUCUCUGUUCUCCAUGCCAAUGAUAUUUGUUGGGAGGAAGGGAUAUUUUCUGCAUACAGUCCUCAGUAGGAUGUUCCUGGCCAACGAUUGCUUAGCCCAUGCCACAGCACUGACCCCUAAAAUAGUUUUGCAAGUGAAGUUUUUCACUUUUUAAGUGAAGGAGACAUAGUAUUUGAAACCUAGAACUUUAGAAUUUUAGAGGAAAAAAGAUUGAUGGUGAUAAUUUGUCUUUACAGAACACUAGGAAAGGUUCAGGGGUGAUUUGCCUGCCUUGGAAGGACGGGUGUGUUUGUGUAGGCAGGGCCUCUGGUCUUGUACACCAUGUUACAUGUGUUUGCUGUCAGAGCUUUCAGUUGAUAGUGUUUAUGUGGGAAACUGAUUCGGAAGGGGGCUAGCUGACUUUGGGACCAGUGUCCCCUGUGAUAUCUAAAUUAGCACCGAGGUUUCCUUCUGAACAUGGGGAGCCACCUGCCUCUGAGUACCCCUCUGCUUGCUCUCUAUUGAGGUCCACCUGAUAUACAGGAAGAUUAGCUGGUUUUUAGAUUAUGGAUCCAAGUCUCAUUUUAGGGGCAAUUGAGUGAGAAAUUAGACUUCUGCCAGCUUCAGUUCAGGGAUUAGAGUCAAGUCCCUGGAGGAAGGCUCUGUCAUGAAGUCGCAAUUCUAGUCCCAAAGGAGCAGUGGUUAUGGCACGUCAGUCAAUGAAUGGGGCUAAUCAGCAGCACAUUUAUAGCUAGCAGAAUCUUCCUUUUUAUUGAUGUGUCCCUCAUUGUUUAAUAUAUUGCCUAGCAUAGAGGAGGAAAGCAAUAUUUGAUGAAUGAAUAAAUAAUUUAGAAAAUAACUCAAGAAGAAAAGAAAGAGACCCAAUUGUAUUUUACUGGUGAGUAAUUUUUACUUAGUCUUGGAAAUGAAGCAAAGUCACUGGAGUAGUGAAUAGAUUUAGUUCCAUAAGGAAUCAAACUGGUGUUCCUUCAGUAACUUUCCACCCACUUGCCUUAAGGUCUUUGAAUUUGCUUUUUGUAGAUUCAAUCAUAAUGUGGCAGAAGUAGCACUACCAAGUUUACCAAGACUGCUUCUGGAUAAAAAGGCCAAGGAAGGCAUUUUGGGCUUAUCACAAGAAUCUUCUACCUUGAAGAUGAAAACAGGGGCCUUCCAAAUCACUGAACAAGAACAACUUCCUGCCACCUACAGAAAAUCUUGCUGCCAAGGGCUACAAAUUCAAGAUCAAGGUGUUGACAAGUUUGAUUCUCCUGAGGCCUCUCUCCUCAACUUACAGAUGGCCACCUUCUCACUGUGUCCUCAUGAGGUCUUUCUUCUGUGUGCAGCUGCUCCUGCUGUCUCUCUGUAUGUCCAAAUUUCCUUUGCUUAUAUGAAACCAGUCAGAUUAGAUUAGGACCCAACGUAAUAGGCUCAUUUUAAUUUUAUCACCUCAUUUAAAGAGCCUACCUCCAUUGUCACAUUCUGAGGUAUUGAAGAUCAGCGCUUUGAUGUAUGAAUUUUUAGGGGGCCAUUGUUGUCCAUCUUACAACAACAAUGUAAAUCAAAUGAACAAAUAUGUAUUAUUUAAGGUGUUACCCUGAUAAUUUAAAUAAAAAUGAAGCAGGGUAAAUAAAUGUGUGGAAGGGGGGGCAUCAUGUUUAAGCCAACGACCAGAGAAGGCUUCUAUGCUGAUACAGCGUUCGAACAGAAAAACGAAGAGGAGGAAGCAAGCAUGGAAGCAUCCUGGGAAAAGCGUUUUAGGAAUAGGAGCUGGUGCUCAGUGUAGUAGAAAAAAAGCUGAGAGGGCAGUGUGGCUAUUGCAGGGGCUGUGAAGGGCAGAGAUGAGAUCAGAGGUAAUGAAGUCCAUCAUGGAAGAUAUUAGAAGCCUGCUAGCAAGGGGUGACCAUCUGCUGCAGGGGAUAGAUUACUAAACCCACAAUCAUAGUCCAGCGUGAUCAGUGAUCGCAGGGUUACUCCGGGUGUUGUGGGAAGAACUGGCUAGACAAUUUGUGGAACCCAGUGCACAAUGAAAAUGUGGGGCAUCUUGUUCAGCCUUCAAGAUGGUGACAGCAGGGUGUAAAGCCAAGUUCAGGGCUCCUUUGAUCACGGGGCUCUGUGUAACCACACAGGUCACAUGCUCUGACUGUGGAAAUAUGAGAGAAAUAGCUGGCUUGACAUAGAUGCUUUUUUUCAGAGGUAAAAUGUGUGGUCAGAGGCCAUAUAGUCUUGUGGAAAAUACAUUCCUGGCUGGGGUUUGGAUUUGAAGCUUCCACUUAAGUACCAGUUUUUUUUUUUUUUCUUUGUACCAGUGAGAUCUCAGGAAAGUUAUAUAAGACCUAACGUGUCUCAAAUUUCUCCUUUGUAAAAAAGGUUAAUGGGCCCUGUCUUAUAAAGAUUAAUUUUAGUCUAAUAAUAGUGAAAAUGUUUAGUAAACUAUAGGACUCUGUAAAAGGAUUAUCAUUUAGUAAUAUAUUUAUAUGGUUUCUCCUUGACGUUCUGUUUCAACUUCUCUUUCCCAUAAUUCCUGAACAAAGAAAAGUGUUUUGUGAACUAAUGGUGAUGAUUUACACUGGAAAUAAAGAUUAUUCCUUUCUUUUUUAAUGCAGGAAAUCAGUCUCAUUAUGUGAUACGUUUUAUUAUGGGCAAGAAGCCCAGGCGUCAGAUUGAAUGUUAUGCUUUGUCCCAUGACAUAACUGAGAUUGUAUAUCAAUGGUCUUUAUUCCUCUGCAGUAAUUAUUUGGUAAAAUGAACCAAUUCUAAGCGAGCCUGUGGUCUUGGCCUCAUCCCUCUUGCUUGUUUCCCCUUUGGAUGUCAUUUUUUUGCCUUUCUUGCCCAACUUUCUCCCCCAAGAGCAGCUGUAUUUGUGUGUCUCACCCUGAGAGGGCAGGCAACUGGCUGCUAUCAAAGUCACUCAGUGACCUGGCCAGUGGGGAGCCAUGAAGAGCCAUCUGCUUGCCUCCGCUGCGGAAACUGUCACCUCUGCAGCAGUCUUGUUUCGAGAGCGAUAAUAGAGUUAUUCUUAACUAAGUGUAUUGUGUGUCAAAGACAGGCUGCAGUUUCACGCAGUAAAUAGGAAGGAGGAUAUAACCUGUGCUGGUAAGCCUGCAUACUAAUCCACAUGAAAAUAGUUUUCAAAAUCAAGUGAGAUAUGGCAGCAGGCAUGUCGAGGGCAAACCUCCAUGGACAUAAUCACAAAUAUGCAAAAAUAAAUGACCAGAAUUUUGACUUGUUGGGAUAGAAAUUUCAAAAACCCUCUUUGGAAAGGUUUUAUAAACUGUUUUAACUGGGACCCGUAUUGCGGGUAUUGUGGCACAGCAGGUUAAACAGCCGCUUGUGGUGACAGCACCCCGUAUCAGAGUGCUAGCGUGAGUUGUGGCUGCUCUACUUGAAAUCUAGCUGCUUGCUAAUGUGUCCGGGAAGGCGGCAGUUAGUGAUCCAAGCAUCUGGGACCCUGUUAUUCAUGUGGGAGGUCAGGAUAGAGCUCUUGGAUCCUAACUUCAAUUUGGCCUAGCUCCUGGCUUUCAUAGCAUUUGAAUCAGUGGACAGAAGAUCUUUCUGUUCUCCCACUCCCCUCUCUUUCUCUGUCAUUCUGCCUUUUAAACAAACAAGCAAAUAAAUUUUUCAAAAAAUUGUUUUAACUCUUAGAGUCUCCUUUUGCAGUGUCAUCCCAAUCCCUAUCUAUUGCUAUGUGGGGUAAUAAAGAACAUUGCCCUUUGCUCCAGACAGGUUUGUAUUCUGGUCCUUAGUUCUUUACUUAUUAUCUGAAUUUACAUGGCUGGUCAGAAAUCUCUUGGGAUUGUUCUUCCAUCUUUGGAGACACAUUAUAGGACCACACUCAUGUCAUGAGAUCUUUGUCUUACUUUUGGUCUGAAAGGAGUUUAUUUUGCUUGGAAAGGUAAUUUUUUUUUUUUUAACCUGUGAUAUUAGUCUUUUACCUGCAUCUCUUAGAAUAUUUUAGAAUCCUGAUCACUGAACUAUAAAUUUGUAGAAUCCAGCAGAAAUUUAAUAAAAUUCUUGCUACUUUAAUGGACCUAUUGCUUGAUCUCAAUUGAAAGUAAUAUCAGCAAUAGGUGCCACUAAGUGAACACUGAUGCUCACAAUACUUUGCUUUUCCAGUGGUGCAGAAAUGAAGUUUUUAGUUAGUUAAGUAAGAACACCAGGAAUCAUUGCCACUAUAGUCAGCAGGUUCUGAGAUUAUUCUAAUUUUAAAAUAUCCUAGUUCUUUAUAUAAACAUUGGACACCCAUUCUGGAAAUACUAGGGUAAAAGCUAAAUAAUCACUACAACAUAAUGGUUGGAGACAGUUGUCCUCAGCACAGAGCUGUGCUCUGAUUUACCACUGCUUUCCUCAACUGGUACUGGGAUGUUUUCAACUGGAAGCAUCGAUUCCACACUGAAGUGGAGCACCCAGUAGUUUCAUGCAUAUAAUGAGCUCCAUCUUUAAUUUUCUAAAGAACAAGGUUCUAGAAAAUUUCUGCAGAAGUUUUCAAGGAGUUAUCUUACUUUCUAGUAUUAUGUGGCAUUUAUAUUCUUAGAGGCCUGCUGUGACUCUGGAGAGAAAUCUCCUGAGUCAGAGAAUCAGGCUUUUCUUUGAAUAAGCUUAUCGAUAAAAUGACUGCAAAAUAAGUUUCCUUUCAUAGUUUUGAAAUGACAGCAACAUUCCAUUUUUUACAAACAUGUCUGUUUUGUUAAAAACAAAGUUAAAAAAAGGUUUUAUGGGCUUUCAAGAUAUUUUUAAAAUUUUUAUUUACUAAUAAAAAGCCAAAGUUGGAACACCAAUGUUUGAUCUCCUAUCUUUACUUAUGAGUAUUUUCUCUGGAAAAUUAAUAUGAUGGACAAAUUUAUCUUUCUUCCUCCUGGAACAUCCUUUUUCCUUGGUUUAAUCUAACCAUAAACAAACUACAAGACGUAUUAAUUCUUAUUUCUCAGCAUCAAAGAUACAACACAAAAAAUAAUCCAGAAGUUUUCAAAUCAAAUUUUGCUUUGCAAUCUUAGUAGGAAUAUUGAAGUCUAGAUUGCAAGGUUCUCAUCCUUUUAAAUGUCCUAAAGGAUUAUUUAUAUAUUUUUGUUCAUUACAAUUGGAAGAAAGUGAAGAAAAAUUCCUCAGUCAACAAAGAGCUCUUAGAAAAUCAGAUAUUAUUACUGUAGCAUUUUCAGAAACUUAGUCAUAUAGUAACAAUAAUUGAAACUAUGUAUAAUUUCAGAAUUUAAGGCAAACAUUAUAAAAAGUAUUUUGAUAGUGCUUUCAGUUAAAUCUUUUCAUUUAGAAGGUAAAUAUUGAAUAAGAUGCAUUAUUAAAAACUGAUUUUUCACUUUUGGUACAAUAUUUUUAAAAGAUUUAUUACCACUAUAUUACCCAAAAAGUAAUCAAUUCUUAAGAAAGUAACAGAUUUUGAUAGAAUCCUCUCUCUCUCUCUCUCUCUCUUUUUUUUUUUUGAAAGAUUUGUUUAUUUAUUUGAAAGAGUUACAGAGAGGGAGAGACAGAGAGAGAGGUCUUCCAACUGCUGAUUUGUUCUCCAGAUGGCUGCAAUGGCCAGGGCUGAGCCAGGCUGAAGCCUGGAGCUUCAUCCAGGUCUCCCAUGUGGGUGACGGGGCCCAAACACUCAGGCCAUCUUCUACUGUUUUUCCCAGGCCAUUAUCAGGGAGUUGGAGUGGAAGUGGAAUAGCUGGGACAUGAACUGGCACCAAUAUGGGUUACUGGUUUCACAGGUGGUGGCUUUACCUGCUUCGCCACAAUGCCGGCCCAGUUACUCUUCUCUUAAGAUUGAACAUCAAUAUGAUUAAACCAAAAUCUUUGUGAAUGUGUUCUAUGAACAAAGACCUUUUGGCCACCCUUAAAAAUGAUUAUAAAUCAAUUCUAAAUUUAAAGGCUUCUCCAAAUUCAAACUCUAGAUGGAUUGAGUGGCAGAGAAUUGGAAGUGGAUUCCUUGAUUUCUAGUCUUUUCCUUGUCUGCUCUACUUUGUUAUAUCACAUUCCUAAUUCUCCUCAAAGCUUAGAGAAGCCAAAAUAAAUGGUGUGGUUUAGGAAGGGAACAUAAUAUUUCACAUGAAUCCCAUAGCAUGGAUCCAAGAGUUAAAGGCCAGUUUCCAUUUAAAAUCACUUUAGCUCUCCCCUUCCCCCUGCCCAAAAGAAAGGGUUAAUUUGAGAGAGGCAGGACCUUGCACAGGAGAUACCUUUGUCUGGAUUUGCUAGUCACGACACAUUGGUCUGGAUUUAGUCAUUUAUUUGUCACUGGGUGAUCUGCUUGGGGUGGUUGCUACCCUUGUGGAAAUGCUGAUGUUCUUGACUGGCACCAAAGAUUUCUCUGUACAAGGUCACUCUAUUAGUAGCAGCCUGUGGUGGCCACACUAAUUUUUUGAACUUUUCUUUCCUAAUUUUGGAUUUUGGAACAUUGUUCUAGGUACUGUACUUGCUUCCCAGAUACCUGUCUCCCUGCCUGGGUGUUUGCAUCUUCAUUAAUAAUAUUUAUAUGUUUUAGUCCACCAUUUUCCCUUAAACUCUGAUGCAGUUGUGAUUUUUUUCAUACAUUAUUCUUCAUAUAGAGCUUUCCUUCUUGAGCAUCCAGAUUCUACCUAACUAAUAACUACGAGGAAGGGUACUGUUCUGGUCUCUGUUGCAAGCUCCAGCUCUCACCAUAGAUUCCUUACCUUAUUUCUGAUAUUCUCAGUGGGGGACUUCAGGGAGUUCACAGAAGGGGGCCUGUGCUGUGUUGUAGCGGGUACACCUAUGGCAUCGCCAGCCCAUUUGGGUGCUGGUUCCAAUUCCAGCUGCUCUGCUUCUGAUCCAGCUCCAUGAUAACGACCUGGGAAAGCAGUGGAAUUUGGCCCAUGUGCUUGGGCCCCUGCACCCGAGUGGGAGACCCAGAAGAAGCACCUGGAUCCUGGCUUUGGGUUGGCCUACCUCCAGCCAUUGUGGCCAUUUGAGGAGUGAACCAGCGGAUGGAAGACCUCUGUCUCUGUUUCUUCCUCUCAAAUAAAUAAAUAAAUAAUAAAUCUUUUUAAAAAAGAUAGUUUAUAGAAAAUAUUAUUAUAGAAAAAUAUGCAUGGAUCCCCCCAUUUCUGCAGCAAAAUAAACUUGCCUUUUCAUUCCAUUUUCUAUAAAAGUUUUAAAGUUCUCCAAUACUUGGUUCCCAGAGUUACAGACCAAAUAUUUACAAAAACCUAUAGAGAGGGCUUCUAGAUUCCGUAGCAGCGCUGCGCUCCUUCUUAUCCAGAAGCCCUGAACAAAUAUUUCUUUAUCUUGUAGCUGGUUCAAGUCUGAUUGUCAACACAAUGAUAUUAAUAUAUAAAAAAUGAAAAGUCCUGAAGGGGACAUGUUGGAGUUGAGUGCCAGGGUCUUUUAUUUUAUCUUUGCUAAUUAAUACAACUUUGGUCCAGACAUGGUGGGUGUUAAUUGCUCUACAUCUGAGAAAAUGUUUAUAAAUCUCUGAAAAAAAGUUUUAUAAUUGUGUGUAGUAUUAAUAUUGCUGUGUGAAAACAGGUGCCAACCAAAAAAGCCUGUGUUGAAGGAAAGCUUCAUAGUUGAGUUAUGAGACAGCUGGGGAGCAGCAAAAUAGAUAUGGAUCCAUAAACCCCGCAGGAAAAACAACUUUAAUCAGGGCCUGACACGUCUGGUGAUUGUAACGAAGUCUCUUGGUAUGUGUAAGCCCUGGAUCAAAUGGGACCAAUUGGCUAUUGACAAGCGUUACAUUAGUGCAAAACUGGAUGAAAAACUGACUAUUGCCCUGUGCAGACUCCAAUAAUGAGAAAUGAGCUUCUUGUAAGAGAAAGAGACUUGGUUUGUUUUUUAAAAGCAACCUGUAUGCAUUGGCUCAGUGAUACCUCUGGUGGACUGAAAUACCUUUAGGCUCAGCCUUCAGACACUACAGUGGCAUUUAUUGCUGUCUUUUCCAAACCUCUCCAGGUGACAGGCCUCUUUGACUCUUUAAAUUGAUUCCAUGGUUCUGAGUACCAGUAGCUGAAGCUGGCAGCCUGACCCCAGAGCAGGGAGCGUUGUCUCCCCUUGAGAGCCCCUCAAAUGGAUUUUACAAGGGAGUGGUGCAUAGUGUGCUUCUAGGAGCACUGAACCAUGUUCCUAGCACUUUUCACAGAUCAUAAAUUAAUUUGAAAUGAACUUCUCUCCUCCCACAAAACAUAAUACCAGAGAAGGACUGUCAUCAUGAUUUUCUGUGGCAUAGUGCCUGAGGGGGGAAAAGUCAUUUUCUCCUGCAUUUGUUGACUGGACACGUGAUGAGGGCCAAAUGCAAGACUGCCAUAAAUGCGUAGCAUGUGUGUCCAAUUCAAAAUAAUUUGCAGUUGGGAGUAGAUUCUCCACACCUUCAGCCUUGAACCUGAAAGAGUGGAAAGAGCUAUACAUAUUCCAUUCUGAAGAUAGGUGUUAUUUAAACUUAGAAACUGAUGUGUCAGGGACCGCAGAUGCCCUGUCUUCACUGUUUCUGUACUGCAAAUGUAAGUGAUUAUUCUUGAUAGUUAUCUGGAAAAGAUAAGAAGUGGCAAGUAGGACAUGCAGUGCCAUUUCACAAUUAUGUGUGGGCACUUGGUAAACAACAAAAUAAUGCAAUAUCCUCUUUAGUAAUGCUGCAAGGUGAGAAGCAUGAAAUCAAUUUUGUUAUCAGACCUUAAAAUUCAGAGUGUUUUUUUUUUUUUUUUUAACUUGUGUGCAGCACCUGCUCUCUUAUAUGUGGCAACAAUUUUCUAAGUUGAUUAUAUUAAACUUCAUGGAUAUCAUUAGUUUAGUUUUCUCAUGCCUUGAAAUACAGUAGGUGCUAUAGAAAAACAUUUGAUUAAUUGUAUUAAUUGUAAUAUGAUUGAAACUGAUGGUUUGUCAGAGUAUAGGAAAUAUUGAGGUAGAAGAGAAGGGAACAGGACACUUUUUCAAAAAGUACCCAAGAAAGUUAAUACAAAGUACCUCUCCAGUGACCUUCUUUUCUCCUGGUCUCUAAAACUGCACAUCUACUUUUCCAUCGACUACACUUCUAUCUUCCAUAGGUAUUUCAAAUUCAAUGUCCAAAUGGAAUUAUUUUUUAUCCAAGUAUGUUUAUCCUCAUAUAUUCUCUCUCUCUUUUUUUAAGAUUUACUUUUUUUUUUUUAAAAGGCAGAAUUAGAGAGAGGGAGAGAUAAAUAUUCUGUCUGCUGGUUCACUUUGCAAAAGGCUGCAAUGGCUGAGGCUGGUCCAGGCUAAAGCCAGUACCCUGGAAUUCCAUUUGGGUCUCUUGUGUGUGGCAGAGUCCCAGGUACUUGGGCCAUCUUUUACUGCUUUCCCAACCACACUAGCAAGGAGCUGGAUAGGAACUGGAGCAACCAGGACUUGAAUUGGCACUCAAAGGGGAAGCCACCUUUGCAAGCAGUGACUUAACCCACUGGGGCUCAGCAGCAACCCCACAGUCCUGCCUUGAGGAAAGUGCGGCACCAGCGUUCUCAUUCCACCACAGACAGAGACUUGGGUUUCACCCCUCAUUAGUUUACCAGUGUCUCCCCUAACACCUUGGAAUCUAUUUCCAAAGCUUUUUACCAUUUAUAGCCAUGUCUGCUGCUUUAGCAGCUCUUGCUUGGAUUCCUAGCUGAAUGGACUCCAUUAUUCUACCACCCUCCCCACCCCUACUUUAAUUUAACCUGCACCCUGCAGCCAUAGUUUUCAAAAUGCAAAUGUGAUUAUAUCACUUUCUUGAUUCAAAUUGUUUGAUGAUCCUUUGGCCACAGGAUAAAUUUAGCAUCCCCAAUUUUUCAUGUUUAGCGAGGCUUGCCUCUAGUUCUGGUUCCUAAUGCUAUACUCUGGAGUCCAUUUGAUGUGGGCAGGGAGGAGCUGAAGCUCGCCUUCUGAGGCUUGCCAUCCUGGGGCCAGACUUCGUGGGCAGCCUUAGCCAUCCUGCCAAACCCCAUCUUGCCAAGCUCAUGCUGCCAAACCCUGUUUCUAUGCUUCACCCAAACCUCCUUUCCAUGUACUGUCCAAAUACCCCUGCUUCCCAUGUAGCAGAAAAACUAUAAAUUCCAUGACUUUGUGACUUAGGGCUAGCACCAGCUAGAGAUAUCCAAAAUGGCUGCCUGGUGCCUCUCUGCAGUGAUCUUUAGUUCAUUAUAAUGCUAUUAUAAUAAAAUCACCAAAGCUGAUGCACCUGCUCCCUUCACACACCUGAUACCAUGACCUUUCCAAAAACGGGCCAGGAAAUGGACAGCCAUAAAUCCCUUCUCCAAACUCCACCUCUUUAGAUAUCCAGUUAAUCCCCACCCCUGACAGCACCCCCAUUGCCUCCAGAUAGUAUUAAAGGACAGCCCCAAACCUUGCUGAUUGCAGCUGUCUCCCCUGAGUCUGCCUGCACUCCUUCCUGUGCACGUACUUUUGCCUCAAAUGAAUCUUGCUUCUCUACUCGCCCUCACCUGCAUUUCUUCCCUGGAUUUCUUCUUGCAUAGAGAAAAAAACCUGGAUCACUUCUACCCAGGGGCCCUCCCUACAACACAUUCGCUAUAUGAAAAACAGUUUUCAAUAACUAUAAUUCUUGUUUCGUACUUUCCCAUCUUUGGCUAUGCUAGGAACAAACAUCUGUGUUUGGUAUCUGGUUGGGAAUUACUUGUCCAGUUCAUGUUUCUUCAGCUGGGAAGCUCCACCAGCCAUCUUGGUUUGAGUUCAGCCUUUUCUCUAACCCUUCUAGUAUCGUGUGUGUGUUGCUAAUGUUGUAUGUAUCCACCUUAAUUUAGUUGUUGUUUACAACUAAAUAGUACUGUUUAUAUAUUUGAGUUUCCAGUGAAGCAUGGUUAAUGGUGCAUGCUGGAUGUUCAGUGCAUACUUCUUGAAUAAAUUUGUGAACACAAUGAUAAACCAAAACAGAAUGGGAUGAUAAAUGAGGAGCAGCCAGUUUUGAGAGAAGACCUCUAUUUUUAAGGGGGGAAUUUUGGCAAUAUUUAGGCUUAAGAGCUGAAAGAGGAUUUGGCUUUAAUUUAGGUUUGAUUUGCACCUUUGUGGCAUAUUGAUCUAGAAGGAGCUAUGGGCAAGUAGAGGCUGUUGUACAGGUGUGUAGAAAAACUAACAUUCAUGAAAAGCUGAAGAGAGAUUUUAUUUUGUUCUGUCAGCCUUUGAUGCACUGACAAACUUAAAUACUUCUUUUUCUACCUUCCUCCUUCUCUCCCAUUUUGUCAAGCUUCUUUCAUAAUUGAUAUAAAAGUAUAUGUAUUAAAGUGCAUAUAUUUUAUUAUUCACAUAUUUUAUAAAUAUAUCAUAAUUGUGAGUAUAUAUCUUUGUGCACCUGUUAGCAUGUAUCUAUAUCAUUUUUGUAUGUCACUAAAAUGUUUUUAAUAUAAUUACUUUUAAAUGAUUUUUUAAAAAAAUAUUUACUUAUUUAUUUUGAAAGUCAGAGUUAUGUAGAGGGAUAGAGAGAUCUUCCAUCUACUGGUUGACUCUCCAGAUGACUGCAAAAGGCUGGUGCUGGGCCAGGCCGGAGCCAGGAGCCAGGAGCCCCAUCUGAGUCUCCCACAUGGGUGACAAGGGCCAAAACAUGUGGGUCAUUUUCUGCUGCUUUCCCCAGGCCAUUAGCUGGGAGCUGGAUUGGGAGUGGAGCAGCUGGAACUUGAACUGGCACCCAUUUGGGAUGCUGGCUCACAGGUGGCAGCUUUACCUGCUGUGCCACCAUGCGAGCUCCAGUGAUCGUUAUUUUUAUGUUUUUGUUAGUAAUGGUAAGAAAAAAAGAGUUUGGGGCUGGGAAGAGAGACAGGAAGUCAAAUAAUGGCAAGGCCAGAAUAUAUAUUUUGAAAUCCAGUCUUUGGAGGAGAGCAAUUAAAAAGGCAUCACUCAUGGGGCUGUGGAACUUUACUGCAAUCAAGGUAGGAGCAAUGGAAGCAAGACUAACGGAGCUGGAGUGAGUGGUACACUGGGUCCCAUGUGCUCAGCUGUGAGGUGCCAUGGAGAGAGCUAAUGCUGAUUUCCUCUGGGCACACAGAGGGAAACGUCUUUUUUUUGGCAAUACCAAAUGAACUAAAAAUGUAGGAGUUACCCAAAGCUUUUUCUGUCUCAGUCAUCCACUGCAGCUGUGUUGGAACUCUAGCUCGUUAGGCAUCCACAUUAGCCCACUUCCUGGGCUCCCUUCUAAACUGGAGAGAAUGUGCUGAGGGAAGAAAAUGCAUCUGAUGCUUUCUGCCAUGCAGGGUUCAUGACCAGUAGGCUGACACUGCUAGGGAUUUGAAGUGAAGUGAUGAAUAGAUUAUCAUUUGUUGGGUACUUCUGACUUUGGUGUAUAUAGUUACAAUAUUUUCUAGAUGUGAUUAAAAAGCAAAGUGUUGGGGGGCCAGUGCUGUGUUGCAGUAGGUUAAACUGCCACCUGCAGCACUGUCAUCCAAUAUGGUCUCUGGUUCAAGUCCCAGCUGAUUCACUUCUGAUCUAGCUCUCUCCUAAUGGCCUGGGAGAGUAGCAGAAGAUGGCCCAAGUGUUUGGGCCCCUGCACCCACUUGGGAGACCCAGAUGAAGCUCCUGACUCCUGGAUUUGGCCUAGCCCAUUCCUGGCGGUUAUGGCCAUUUGGAGAGUGAGCCAGCAGAUGGAAGGUUGGCGUCUCUGUCUGUCUCUCUCUCUCUGUAAUUCUGCCUUUCAAAUCAGUCAGUCAGUCAGUCAAUCAAUCUUAAAAAAAGUUCAAUGUGUGUGUUCCAGGAAGGAAAAGAAGCAUCCAGUUACUUCAUGCCGGCACUUUAAUUUUCUCCUUCUACCAGCACUCUAGUAUGAGUUUGUCACCCUGAUAUUCCCCUAGGAGAAGCUGGACUUCACAGUCAGUGGUAGAGCUGGGCGCAAUCCGGGCUGGCUGAAUGGAUCCAGUUUUCAUUCUAUUCUCCACACUGCCUUACUUGCCGUCACGUCUUGGCUGGCAGCAGGAGAGUCAAACCUGACAGGGAACUGUGAAAAGCCUGAAGUUUCCAGCCUGCUAGGCGAGCGGCGGUGGCACAGAGGCGAGUCACUGUGAGCUCUGUCAUUUAUUUCUGUCUACUUUAAAUCUCUUAUCUGGAGGGAGAAAAGCAUUUACAAAGCUUUCAGAAAAAUGCUUUGUGAUUACCAGCACUAGGCGAGCAAUGGCUUGCCUGUUUUCCACAGAUAGCUGCAAAAUAUGUCUUUUAGGGAGAAUUAUCUGCUUUCUUCCACUUAGAUUCAUAUACAAACAUACCGACAAAGAAAUACGUCUCAGAAAUCCCAUAGUCCUAGGUGUGAGCAGAUACUUUCUAGUCCAGGUUGCAUUGAAUCAGAUGAAAACAAACCAAUAAACAAACAGACAAGCAAGCACUGAAAAACAAAAAGGUAAAGUAAUUACUCAGUUGUUAAAGAAACAAGCUUCCCGGUCUACCCUUAGUAACAACUUCCUGCUCUUUGGUAAUUCCUGUUAAGUCUAGGAAGCUCAAGGUGUAAUUUCCGUAGCAUGAAAUAUCAGGUGUUCCUUAACAAUGUGCCAAAUAUUUUUUAAAUCCUUGAGAAAAAAAUAAGGGAAAGGAUAUUAGCUUUUUUGUAACAUAGAACAUGCCCAGCAUUCUGCAAUGGAUACAUAUUUCAAAACCUUGUGUCAUGAUAAAUAUAUGCCAUUUCUAUUCAUCCAUUAAAAUAAAUGAAAACCAAAUACACACACACACACACACACACACAGACAAGUAUACCCAGAUCUUCUUGGUAGGAUAUACUUGGGUAAUAUUUUUAUCUUUGAAGAGAGUGUGAGGAUGUUAGAAUUAGCAUCUUCCUUGGCUUGAUGAGAACUUCAUCUUCAUUGUCCUUUGCACUUUCUCCAUGCAGACUUCCGCUAUGGGAGUAAUUCUUAACAAAUUGAGCAGUUGACCUUCUACAAGCUGGCCUCUCUUGCAUGAUUAGAUUUAGUAUGGCACGAGGACGUGAUGAUUCAGGAAGCUCCAGGCAUUUAGACCCCCUGGCUCUAAUAUACCGUUUCAAGGAUACACCCCCAAAUCCUUGCAGUAUCUGCUGGUUAGACCAAGGGAACCUCCAGGCUUGCAGCUGCUCUGUUUCCAUUCCUCUUGCUUGAGCUUGUGGAAUCAGGAAUUCCCAUGGGAGAAAGUUUUGAGUCCCUGAUAAAGGGCCAGUUGUACAUUUCCACUCAACAUAACCUUUAUAGGGUAGAGAAUCUAUUACUUUGAGUAUUUUUUCCCAUUAAAAUCCUACUGAUUAUAUUUGAAAUAUCUCUUCCUUGAAUGAUACCUCACCCUGGCUGGAAAAAGGCUUUAAUAAGCCAGGCAUGGCAGGAAGACUGCUUUGCUCCACUUUGCUUUGCUGUUGAAACAUUAAGCAUAAUCUGAUGUGUCAAUAGAGUCACCUCAGGUACUCAGAAUCAUUUUACUUCCUCUUACAGUCAAAACAUAGUGUUAACACUGACACGAAUUGGUAUUAAAAAUAUAUGGGGAAUCACCUGGAGAACAGCACUUUUUACUGAUAGCAGGUCUUUUUAAAAGCAGUAUCUGUCAAAGAUUCAAUUUGAACUUUUUUUUUUUGCUUUGAAUUUUACAGAGCAGACUUUCACUUUUUAAAAUCUGACCUGCUUUACAUCAUUCAAACCUAUCAGUGAUGGGGAGAAACUUUUUCUUUUUAUGUGACCCUCUGGGAGGUGUUGCACAUUUCCAAUGUAUGCCCUGAAAGGAUGUGCAAAAUGACACAGAGUGGAUGACAUCACUCAUUGCUGAUAAUUAAACAUUUCCCUGGGAUUUACAAUAUAGGCUCAAAAGAAAAUGGAAAGAAGGAGAUGAGGAUGGGAGCAUUCUUAGGCAUUCUAUCUGGGUGCAUACUUUAUAUCACUCUAGAAAUAUUUCCAUUUAGGUGGAGUAUGAAUGUACCAAAUAAAAGAACAUGAAUAUAAGAACCUUAAAUUUUAGUUCUGAGUGAAUAUAAACAAAAAUGUACAUACUUGUCAUAUUUCAUGUGCAUUAUAAUAUAUAACAAGUAUGCCAUAUGAAAUACAUUUGUUAUAUUUUUAUUAUGUUUAAUAUAAAUUAAAUCUAUAUGAAAAUUGUAUUAUAGUAUAUGCAGUGUUCUAGAAAAUUGAGCAGAUUGAAAAACUAAGAAAGAUGCAUUUUUUUGAUGUGUUAAUUCUUUGUUGAGUGCCAUAUAGAGCUUACUGGAGUGGCUUUUGUAAAUAUAUUGGAAUGCUCUGUUUCAACAGGUGAAGUGAUCCUCAAGUAUUACUUAGCAGAUAAUUCAUUUAUUAAAAUAGAAGACCCAUCAAAUGUAAUAUGUUGACAUGUGGCACACAAAGGUGUUUGUUUUAUUUGCUUGCUUUGGGGAGUCUUUGUGAAAUAAAUGACCCAUUGAGCUGAAAAGUGAAUAUCAUUGCAAUUCAGGCUCUGAGAGCAAUAGACUCUAUUGAUAGUAAUGACCAGAUUUUCUUUGUUGUUUGAAAUCUAAGAGUUUCUCCUUUUUUCAUUCUGUUGCUAUACAGAUAUUUCAUAUGUGUAUAUGUGUGUUUGAGUAUGUGUGUGUGUCUGUGCUUGUGCAUGAGUGUGUGCGAGUGCAUGCGUAGCCACAAAUCACUCAGCUGACCUUUUUUGUAAUCAACUACAGUAAGUUCAGUGUAUCUAUAUGUGUGUGUCCCCGCACUUCUGGUGUGAUGGACAGUUUGCUUAAAUAUAUGGGAGAAGUUAAUCCCAUUGCCCCUGACCUUUGGCACAGGAACCUGGUGCUUCCAGUAGAAAGUGUGGUAAAUGCCAAGUCCUUUGGGCAGAGGAUGUUUGCAUUAAUGUUUUCUAUGCCAGAGCCUGAGCCAUAGAUUUUCUGUCAGCCAAUCUUUGCACUGCUGAUAUGGAAUAGGUUGAACUGUGUAUAGAAUAUAGUUCCUGAUGCCAUCUGCUUUGACACCCUGAAUAUUUUAACCUCAGCCAGUAUAUUAAAAGAGAGAGCCUCCCACUCUCUAUCAUGCAUGUGAUUACCAUGUAGUAUGGGAGGUGAACAAAAUCAUGCAGUUUAAUGUGAUUGUCAAAGGGUCAGUUGUCAUGUUAAUUAUCAAGAGCUGAGUGAUCACAAUAUGACAUCACAGGGAGGAGGAUGAGGUAUAGUUCCUACCAAGCUUGUAAAUUCAGUUAACUCCUGAUAUUCCUGGAAACCUACAGCUGUGACUUCCUAGCACUACACAGGGCUGGAUGCAGCUCUGCAGAUACUAAUUUCUGGAAGGCUUCACCACCAUGAAGAAUUUGGAUUACAGGGAAUGCUUGUUUCAAAGAGGAUGAGGCAGCUUAGGAGGAAAGACCCUCCCUUAGGAGGUGAUGGAAUGGAACCUGAUUUGGUGUCUGUAUUUAGCAAUGUAACAAAUCAUCCUUGAUUCUUCUGUCCUACAUUGCAACCUCUGAACAGACACCAGUACCAUGGGUUCUAACCCUUAGACAUCCCCAGGAUCUAUUGUUUUCUCUCUGAAUUUUUUUAAUGCUUUAGGGCCUUCUCAUUUCUUGCCUAGAGUUUUUGCCAGAUGGCUGGAAGAAGCUUCCUCUUCAAGCCAUUCUUCAGUGUGACUUUUUAAAGAAGCGCAUGUCCUUCCGAACUAAAUGUUAUUCUCAGAUGCAAUGAGCUCUGUUCUGCAUACUGCUCUCUGUACAUUUCCUACAUUGGUGGCUCUGAGUCAUACUUUAAGUCCCAUGAUACAUAUCACCUCCUUCCAGGAAGUCUUCACCAGUUCAAGAGUUCUUCUUUGAGCUCUUUUGGUGCCACGUGAUUGUUUGGAUCAUAGUUCUUUUCUUGAUUUUUUUAUGGCUCUCUCUUGACAACUUGCUUCGUAACUCUUCCAGAAUGGAAGCUCCUUAUGAUAAGGCACCAUUGUAUUUUGUUUUAUAUUCCAGAAGCUGAGGCACUGAGUAGGUACAAAAUAAGACAGUUUUUUAAUGCAGCACUUUUAUUGCUCUGUACAUUACUGUUGUUGUGGCCAAAUGUUCUCCCAUCACAUUAGAAAGCCCAAAUUUCAGGCUUGGCAUUGUGAUGCAGUGGGUUAAGUUGCUGCUUGGGAUGUCCUAAUCCCAUAUCAGAGUCUGAUUUGAAUCCAGGCACCUUCUUUUUCUUUUUUUUUUAUUUUUUAGACAGGCAGAGUGGACAGUGAGAGAGAGAGACAGAGAGAAAGGUCUUCCUUUGCCGUUGGUUCACCCUCCAAUGGCCGCCACGGCUGGCACACCGCGCUGAUCCGAAGGCAGGAGCCAGGUGCUUCUCCUGGUCUCCCAUGGGGUGCAGGGCCCAAGCACUUGGGCCAUCCUCCACUGCACUCCCUGGCCACAGCAGAGAGCUGGCCUGGAAGAGGGACAACUGGGACGGAAUCUGGAAAUCUGGAGCCCCGACCGGGACUAGAACCUGGUGUGCCGGCGCCGCAAGGCGGAGGAUUAGCCUAGUGAGCCGCGGCGCCGGCCGCAGGCACCUUCUUUUUCAGUUCAGCUUCCCACUACUGCACACCCUGGAGGCAGCAGGUAGAUGACCCAAAUUCUUGGCUGUUUCAGUAUUUGGAGGGUUAACCUACAGAUGGAAGAAUCUCUCUCUCUCUCUCUCAAAUAAAUAAACAUUAAAAGAAUCAAAAAACUGAUGUGAUCUCUUAGAGAAUUUGUAAUUGUAUACAAAAACUUUACAUAAAUUAAAAGGAUGAAUAAACUUUUAAGUGUAAAGGUGCAAAGGUAACGUGUCCAGCUCGAGGCUGGUACAGCCUACUGUGUAUAACCGGAAAACCAGGUAAAAAGGGAAACUGGGUCUCAAAGUGCAGACCUCCCCCACUGUUAAGACCGGUAAGAUGAAAAUGACAACUGAUUCAGACACAGAGGCUCUGAGAAAUCCUGGAAUGUUAGCUAUGACACAUUAAUGCUUUGUGCAGAUUGAGAGACUGGUCAUGCAGAUACACCAGGGCAAAUCUGGAUGUCUUGUCUGUAAGCAUGUUCUCACUUCAGCCACAAAGUGACCAAGCCACAUGGACUAUGGUUUAAAUCAAAGUGGGUAUUAAUCAUAUGCCAAGGGAACAGUUAACUUGAAUAUGAGAUCAAAAAUCAGCAACAAGUUCUACAAUCAGGUGCCAACACCAGACACAAGCGUCAAGGACAAAAUUAUUUUCAAAGGCUUAUUCAGUUUUAUGAAGCUAGCAUGAGGUAUAGUUAUUUGCCAGGGACAUUAUCUACUUGUGAAAUGAUACAUGUAGCAAAUGCUGCACUGCUCACAGUGCCUUUUGAAGCAUUGGCAUUGGGUAAUGGAGGCACUGACUCAUCAUACUUGAGCUUGCUAAUCCACAUCUGAAGAUGGACAAGAAAGUCAGGAUGGAGCUGCCCAUCACACGGCUCAGGAGGUACAAUGAUUUUGAUCUUCAUGGUGCUGGGCAUCAGCGUGAUGACCCCCUUCUGAAUGUUGUCAGCAUUGCCCCAACAAGUGGUGGUGCUAAUGGACAGCACUAUAUUGGCAUAAAGGUCCUUGUGGAUGUUGGUGUCACACUUCAGGUGGAAGUUCAAGGUGGCCUGCUGUAUGAUGCAGGGCUCCACGCCCAGGAAGUAGGGCUGGAGGAGCACCUCCAGACACCAGAACCACUCCAUGACAAUGAUCACAUGACCAUGGCACAACUUACUGCUUUUCUCCUGUGAGUCCGAGGCAAUGCAACAUGUCCUUUAUGUCCUGCAUGAUCUCUGUAGCCACGCUCCCUAAGCAUCUUCAUGAGGUAUUCAGGACCUGUGCAAAUGAAGUGGAGACACAAGAUGGCUGGGGGAAAGCAUAGUCCUUAUAGAUGUGCACCCUAUCUCUAGAGUCAGUCAUGACUCCAGAGGCAUGGUGGGAGAGCUUGGCUCAGAAGGCCAUGUGCAUGGCUGGGGUGUUGAAGGUCCUGAACAUGAUCUGGGUCAUUUCUCUGCUUAUCUUGGGGUUCUGGGAUUCUGGGAAGCAUGAGGGAUGCUUCUCAGGGACCUCUUGCAGCUCAGUGUAGAAGAUUUGGUGCCAGAUUUUCUCCAUGGCGUCCCAAUUAGUGAUGAUGCCAUGCCCAGUGGGAGUACUUCAGGGUCAGGAUGCCUUGCUUGCUCUGGGUCCUCAUGUCCACAAAGAAGUCCUUCUGACCCAGGCCCACCAUGGCUUCUGAUUGGCUCAGCUCCAGCCAUUGCAGCCAUUUGGGAGUGAACCAGUGGAUGGAAGACCUCUCUUUCUGUCUCUACCUCUUGCAGUGACUCUGUGUUUCAAAUAUAUAAAUCUUAAAAGAACAUGAAUUUAUAGAGUAGAAUAACAUGCCAGGUAAUAGUCCUGAUAGAAUGGCAGUGAAAGAUAGCAGUGUUCAUUUAGGAAGUGAUUGGUGACUGAUAUAGUUCUGGAGCGUUUGUUUAUUAGAACCUAUGUACCAGAUGUUAUAGCAUUGAGAGGUGAAGCCUUUGGGGAAAAUGACCAAGUUAUUGUGCUCUGCUUUCAUGAAUGGAAUUAGUGUUCUUGUAGGAGCAAUGUCAUUUAGUUGCACUCCCCCCUCAUUAGGGACCAUUUUGAAGCAGAGAGAACCCACACUCGUCAGACACCCAGUCUGCCAGUGUUUUAUCAAGAAGACUUGUUCCCCAGAACCAUGACAAAUGAAUUUCUAUUAUUUAUUACAUAUAUUGCAUGACUAUAUUUAUAUUAUAACUUAAGCUUUCUUUUAAUUGCCCUGUAAAGUUUUUUUUUUUUUUAAUAGCCCAAACAGACUUAAACAAUGACAUGCAUUUAUUUGUAUAGUUCUUUCUGGAAACUCUCAGCCCUCACCUCAGCCAUCUUGACAUGAUUACUCUAAAAAUCACCUUGGGAAAAAUCACCAAAAUCUUUGCUUGCCACUCUCUUGAUGCAGUGAUAAUCCUUGUUAAAAGAGGGAGGCCCUUCUGAGUUCUUCUGGUUUCCAAAGGAGGAGUUUCUUCUAGAUAUUCCUGGGCCUUGGCCUCAUCCUUACAUUUCUUUAAGGAGUAAGAAAGAGUUUGAUGGAUGAGAUUGGGAAUAAUUUUUUAAAAGAUUUAUUUUAUUUAUUUGAAAAUCAGAGUGACAGAAUGAGAGAGGGAGAAACAGAGAAGUCUUCCACCUGCUGACUCACUCCCCAAAUGGCUUCAAUGGCUGGGACUGGUCUGGGCUGAAGACAUGAGCAAGGAGCCCCAGCUGGGUCUCCCACGUGGGUGCAGGAACCCAAAGACUUGGGCCAUCCUCUACUGUGUUCCCAGGUGCACGAGCAUAAGAUGCUGGCACUGCAGGCAGUGACUUAACCCAUUACACAACAACCCUGGCCCCAGGAAUGGUUUUAAGGAUGCACAGUUCAUCUGUUUUCUAUCAUGCGUAUCUAGGAGCAUAGUUAUACACAGGAACAUGCAUUCUAUUUUUCUACACCAUGUCAUAAGUUUUAUAGUAUAGGAUUUCACCUAGAAAUAACUGCAGUCAUCCAGUACUGCCUAUGACUGGAUAGGUGAGACUAAUUAUGAUAUCCAGUAAGAAUCUCAUUUUACUAAAUAUGUAAAUCACAUUUUCUAAUAUUAGGUUUAUCAGGAUAAAAGUUGCAAUGCUGCCAUCCCAACUAUCCUUUUUUUGUUCCAAAGUGAUCUAGUUCUGCAAUAUAAUACAGUAAGUUAAGCUAUUGCUUGCCAAGCAGGCAUCCCAUAUUCAAAUGCUUGUUGGUGUCCUGGCUACUCAGCUUUCCAUUCAACUUCUUGCUAUUGUGCCUGGAAAGGCAGUAGAUGAUGGCCUGGUGCACAUGUGAGACACAUAGAUGGAUUUCUUGGCUACUGUAUACCUGGCUGUCGUGGCCAUUUAGGGGAGUAAAUCAGUAAGAUGGGAGAUCUCUCUCUGUGUGUCUGUCCUUCUCUCUGUCACCAUAUCUUUCAAAUAGAUAGAUAAAUCUUUUUUUUUAAUGAUCUGAAAGUCAAAUCAACUGAGAGAGAGAGACACACACACACAAAUCCUCCAUCUGUUGGGCUCACUCCCCAGAUGGUUGCAACAGCCAGGGCUGGGCUGGGCUGGGCUGAAGCCAGGAGCCAGAAGCUUCAUCCAGAUCUUCCACAUGUGUGGCCGGGGCCCAAAAACUUGGGCCAUCUUCUUCUGCUUUUCCAGGCCAUUGGCAGGGGGCUGGAUCAGAAGUGGAGCAGCCAAGAUAGGAAACAGCACCCCUGUGGGAUGCCGGCAUUGCAGGUGGUAUCUUUACUUGCUGUGCCACAAUGCUGGCCCCAAGGUAAAUUAAAAAGAAUGCAUUCUUUUAAAAGUUUUUUUUUUUUUAAAGAUGGAGUUGGGGAUAGAGAGAGCAUUCAAGAGAGAUGUUCCACCCACUGGGUUACUCCAUAAAUGCCUGCAAGAACAGGGCCUGAAACAGGGCAAAGCGAAGGAGCUCAGAACUCAAUUUGGUUCUCCUAUGUGCAGGGCGGGGUCCCAGUACUUGAUCCAUCACCUUCUGCCUCCUAUGGGGCACAUUAACAGGAAGUUGGAAUUGGAAGCAGAACUGAGACUCAAAAACAAUAUGGGAUAUGGGGAUCCCAAAGGGUGCCUUAACUACUGUGACAACAACCUACUCCUGUUUUCCUUUUAAUUUUAUUUUGUGUUUGUUGCAGAGAUCAGGUAGUAAAGAGGAAUGUGUUUAUUGGGUGAACCCAGCUCAAUACAAUACAUUUGAAAACUAAAUAAAAUCUAAAUUUUACUUCAUAUAUGAAAAAUUCAGCUUCUACCUAAAAAGAAGACUGAAUCACUAAGAGUUACUUAGAGUUAGCUGUUGCUAAAAAAUAAGCUAGACUCAUGUCUGAUGAUUAUCAUUCGAGGAUGUGGUCAUUGGCAGGAUACAAGUGUUAGGACUGAAGCAAGAAGUCACAUUCUCCUUACAGCCACAUAAGCAGCAAGGUUAGCACUGGCAAUGAGUGGUUGAAUACAGAAGCAAGGCGUGAAGAUGUCUCUCUAUGUGGGGAAGGAUAUAUAAGAAAAAUAUGCAGGUAAAAUAGGUUGUAGAGAUUAUAAAUCCAGUCAAGAAAAUUUAGUAACACAGUGUCAGAAAUCCAGAUGAGCAUUUUGGACAAAAUGUUGUACUGGAACUUUGAAGCACAGAACUGAUAUCUUACCUGUCAUGAAGUCUAACUGUGUAUUCACUAUUUGAAUCAUGCCCUAAAUGUUAUUACUCUACAAUAUCAUAUUCAUGUGAUAUCCAGCUAUUUGUAGAGACAGAACACUAUGUAUUAAUUUACUUUAUUCAUUAUAUCUGGACAUCUCUGUUCUGCUUUAUAUUAAAUGAAAUGUAUGUCUUUUGUUUACUCUAAACUUUAGUAUAUCUCAUGAACUUUGAUAUAACUAAGCCAUAGAGUUUUAUGGUUGAAAGAAGCAUAAACCUCUUUCUUUUUCCAUGAUACAUGGAAGUGGAAAUAUUUUCCCAAAUGCAGGUGGUCUGGUUUUAUGAUCCCAUCAUUAGACCUAGCUGCAUUGGAAGGAAUUGGUUUUGGAAUCUGCUUUCUGUUGGAACUAUGGCUCCAUAUUCACUAAAUUGAGACCCUUGAAUUUAUCAGACAUUUAUCAAUUUUGCUGGUCAACAUUAAAUAGCAAGUUAAGUCCUUCAGUCUUCUAGAGAUCACUUUUGCAGUUGCCUUGUCCUGGCAGGUGCUGUGAUUAUGCAUUCAUUUUACUGUUGGUGUACAUACCUGAGGUAUUCUGAUGGCCACAGCAGAUGACUGAUACUACUUACAGAGAAAUAUUUUCAGGUACCCUCCUCCCCAGUAAAAAUGACCAUCAACCAUGGGAUCUGGUGGGCAAUCUGGAGACUUUAUCAAGCAUUUUUUCAGAUGUUCAGCUUUAACAGUCUAAAGCUGAGAAACAUUUCUUGCAAAAACAUCUUAUAUGUUCUUUCUAUACACUUUAAAGGAGAAAUAGACGGCCUUUUUAAAGGCAAUACUUGUUAUAUGAAACAACAUUUUUAGUAGGAAAUAGAUCAGCCAUAUGACCUUCUUAUUUUCCAAAACAUGUUGAUUUUGCUCAUCCAUUCAAUUUCAUGUCUAUUUUUUAUUUGAGAAGCAGAUUUCCCCCUUACCUCUGCAGAAUGAGUUAAGUACAAAAGUUAAUACAUACUGAAACGGAGAGAAACACAUAUACCGAGAAAGAGAGAAAUAUAUACAUUUCUAAUAUAAAUAAAAUAUAUAAAAAUAUUAAAGGCCUACAAUGCUCACAAUGUCCCAUGACUGGGCCAGGCCAAAACCAGGAGCUGGGAGCUCAAUCCAGGUCUCCCACGUGGGUGGCAGGGACUCAAGUACUUAGGCCAUCAUCAGCUUCCUCCCAGGAUCUGCAUUGACAACAAAUGGAAUGGAAAGCCAGAGCCAGGAGUUGAACCCAGGUACUGGAAUAUAAGACAUGGAUAUCUUCACUGACUUCUUAACUGUUAUACUAAAUGCUCCCACCCCCAGAUCUCUUAAAAUGACCUCCUCAUCCACUCAAAUGCCUGUGGCAUACGAAUUCCAGCUGUAUUGUAGCACUCACUCUCUGACAUUCAUCCUUCCUAUCUCAUUGUUUUGAUUUUUGACAGCUUUCUUCUGCUUACUGUCCUCAUUUUUGUACAGCUGAUUCAUCUUUGGAUUGCCUCAGGUCUUACUCUUCUCCUAGCCACUUUUGGACAAGGUCCUGAUUAAAAUCUCUGUUUAUAGUAUAUCUCUGGGAUAUACUGUAUACCAUAUGAAUUGUUUUCAUUUACCUUAUAUUUGAAUAUUGGGUCUGCAUACACUUGUCUGUAGAGACAUCUAGAAGGAAUUAUUUCUCAAGGAUGUGACCUUAGUCUUGACUGAGGCAUACUAUGAGAAACAGACUAUAUUUUACUUCUGUAAAAACAUUAUUGAGGAUAUAUCCAUUAUAUCACUUAUUUCAUACACACGCUUCAGAAAAAUAUGCUUUUCAGAAUUUAGCAGAGGAAAAUACUAUCUCUUUCUAUGAAUGCUUUCUCUUUCCUAUAGUGAGAAACUGACAUUUCCAGUAAUGUGACUCAUUACAUUCCCAUUAUCUUGCUUUGGUUGGAAGGAAUCAUAGGGCAAAAUGUAGUGGUUAAAUAUAGCAUUUUCUAUUCUAGUUAGUACAAACUCAUUUCCCUUUUUAUCAAAGUUUUCUAUUUUAUUAGGUUGUUUUGUGUUUAUAUGUAUUUGCAUGCCAAUAAUUUCAAAUUUAUUUUAGAUAGUCAAGAUAUUAUAUAGACAUAAAACUUCCCCAAACAAUUUUCUUUCUUGCUUGGGAAAUAUGUUAAAGUCUUGAGGGAUCUACUUCUGGAGUUUCUAGAGUACCCUUGAGAUAUUCAAUGACUCCUUGGAUACCUGUAAUGCACAUGGCAUGCCAUUAAAUGCUAUUUUUAAAUCAUGAUCAAGCCAAGCCAAACCAAAUCAUUACCCUUUCCUCAUUUUUUGUGGCUGUAUUAUUGAAACAUUUUCUUCAAAGUAGUGUGUUUUUAAGGACAAAUAGGAAAUUUACACAGGCUAUAGGAGAAUAGCAAAUAAUAUACAUCCAGUGAGCAGGGGGUACAUUAUACGGAGGGUUGCACUUGAUCUGCAUCCAAAGUGUAGGUACAUUUGAGUACGUGAAGCAAAGAUGAGGGCAACAAUGUGCUGAUCAGUCCAUUCUGCAAAACUCUGACAUGUAGUGUUUUCUAGUUUCUUUGGUGUAAUACUUUCAUGAUUACCAAUUUCAAGCUAUCAAUAAUUUAACUACUAGUUUGCAAUGUUCUUGAAUAUUUGAAAACAGGCUGUCAUUACACUAUUUGAGCCAGGUCUUGCAUACCCAACUGGAUGGGAUGACUAUAAGGAUGUUAUAAGUUGCAUAGGAGUUCAGAUUUAAGAGGCUCUAGUAAGAAACAGAAAAUAGUUCUGAUUGGCUGCAUAGGAGGCUCAUGUUGGCAGAUGAAGACAAGAUGUAAGAGUUGUUAAUUUGGGGCAGAAUUUGGAAGUCUUUGCAGUGCAGUUGGGCUUUAUUUUUGGGACAAUAGGAAACUGUUGAGUACUUUUUAAUGGUGGGAUGGUAGGAUAAUAUUAAUUCUUUCAGAAUAUUGACCUGUUAUUAGGUAUACUUUAGAAGGUUUUAAGGAGUAGAGAAUAGAGAAGGUAGUUAGGAGCUGCUUGAAAUGCUGUAUGUGUGAGUUGAUAAGGACAAGAUUUAUGGCAGAAGUAAUUAGUAUAGGAAGGAAAAUAAGGGGGAAAAGUUGAACAGUAGAAAUACUGUAUCUCUGCUCGAGAUGGCAUCAACUGGGUUAGCUGGAAAGCUUGGACUGGAAUUAAUUGAGGUCUCACUUACAUAUUUGAGGAUUAAUGUUGGUUGUUAUUGUAACCUUUACAGGGGUUGUAGAGAGAACACCUAUGCAGAGUGUUCUGUGUGGCUGGUUGGCAUUAAUACAGCAUUAUAGUUGGGUUCCAAAAGGAAGCAUCCCUAGAGAGAGAGCCAGAUAAAAACCACAUUGCUUUCUACAGCCUAACCCUGAGAAUUUUGUGGUGUCUCUUUUGUUGCAUUUUAUUUUUUUUUUUGAGUCAAUUACAAAAUCACACUCACUUUGAAGAGGAGAGGAAAUGAGACUCCAUCCUUCAAAGAAGGAUAGCACGGUUUUGAAAGAUUAUAUUAGAGGGUGCACACAAGUGUUUCUCAAUAACUGGUUGAUGUUAUUUUUGUAUAGUGUUAAGUGUCUGCAAGCCAACUGGUUUCCUCUGAAGUAUGAUGGAUAUAUCUAGUAAAUGCUUCACAUAGCUUAAUUAACAAUGCUGAGACUGGUUGUGUAGGUCUUGUUAAGUGAGUGGUAUGGUUAAUAUUUGGUACUGCUACACUAGACUGAAGAAUGUUCUUUCUGAGAUCUUAUCUGAAUAACUAGUUUUUUUUUGAUAUUGAUUAACUGGAGAAUGUAACAUAAUAAUAAUAAUAAAAACUCUUUAAAAACUUAUCACAUACUAAACUUAGUUAUUCAUUUCUAUAUACCAUCUCACUUAAUCCUCAAAAAUAAACCAAAGUGGUAAGUAUUAGUAACCUCAUUUACAAAGGAUAAAACGAGUUCAGAGAAGUGAUUAUUUGCAUGGGUUUACACUGCUAAGUAAUGAAAUUUGAAUUCAGUUCUAAGCCUGUACUCAGCCUUCUCUCCAUGGGGUAUGUUGUUAUUACUUCUCCAUGAAGUAAGGAUAGAAAUAGAGCAUUUUUUGUUUGUUUGUUUGUUUUUUUGACAGGCAGAGUGGACAGUGAGAGAGAGAGGCAGAGAGAAAGGUCUUCCUUUGCUGUUGGUUCGCCUUCCAAUGGCUGCCGCGGCCUGUGCACUGCAGCGGCGCACCGCGCUGAUCCAAAGCCAGGAGCCAGGUACUUCUCCUGGUCUCCCAGGGGUGCAGGGCCCAAGUGCUUGGGCCAUCCUCCACUGCACUCCCUGGCCACAGCAGAGAGCUGGCCUGGAAGAGAGGUAACCGGGACAGAAUCCAGAGUUUCCCGACCGGGACUAGAACCUGGUGUACCGGCGCUGCAAGGCGGAGGAUUAGCCUAGUGAGCCGCGGCGCAGGCCGAGCAUUGUUUUUGACUGCUAAGAAAUAAAUUUCUUGGAGUAAGAGUGUUAAUGUUGCACAUGAGCUACCUGCAAUGCAGUUGUAAAUAGGGAUUCCAAAAGUGGUGGAUUUAGACAAGGGUUCUGCAAACUUUGUAUUCCUUUGGAUUAACAUAUAGGUCUCAAGUUAGAAUAUGGAAUGAGGUAGUCCAGAGAACCUUGCAAACAUGCUUGCAGAGGAAUAUUAUCAUCCUCACACAACUUAUUGUGUAUUAACAAUAUUAGACAUUAAAAAUUUCUCAUAUGAUAACUUUCCUUAGUAGGUUCUACACUUUUGGCAACAUACACUCAUAGUAUACAGUUGAUGGUGAAUACAUAUCUAUAGAACUAAACAUAAAGGAGUUUAACUUUAUCCAUCUUUGAAUACAUAUCCAUUUUGUUUUGUAAACGUAAAUUUUAUUCGAAGAGUCAGUGAUUCUGUGAGGAUCCAAAGUAUGAAAUCUCUCUCUCUAUCAUUCUUAGUCCAGUGCAUGAGACAGAAGACAAGGGCUUCCUUGAAUGACUGUUUCCCCUUGUUGUAAUACUGAUGGGGGAAUAGAGGCAGUACUCUCACAGUCCCUAGAGCCGUAAUCCUUGUUGUGAUGCUAUGUAGGUAUCCCUCUAGAGUGAAUUUGUAGAGUUUGAUAAUCAUCUGAGCAGUAAUAAAACAUAAAUUUUAUGACUUUAAAGCAACCUGUUUAUUGUAUUGUUGUGACAUUUUAUCUGUUUUUGCAUUUUGACAUUUAUAUGAUUAACAUGUCUGGUGAUGGUUGAAAUUAAACAGAAAUAUUCUCUAUUUUUUUUUUCCGGAGAUUAAUCUUUCCCUUCCAAAUUUAUAAAAGUAAACCUGUUUCUUGGUUUGAUUUUGCAUCUCAACUGUUUGCUAAGCUAUAAUCAGUGAUGACAAUUAAGAUAUCAAUGAAAAAAUAAACCAUAAUGAACCACUUCUGGUUUAGGAGAUCUUCUCUCUAGGCAACUUCCAAGUAAACAGCAGCAAAAGGUGACUGCUUCUCAGUGCUGGUGCUAUGGUUUUGUGGGCUAAGCUGCCUCCUGCAGUGCCAGCAUCCCACAUGGGCACUGAUUCCAGUCCUGGCUGCCCAACUUCCAAUGAAGCUCCCUGCUAAUGUGUCUGGGAAAGCAGUGGAAGAUGGCCCAAGUCUUGGGCCCCUGUACUCAUUUGGGAGACAUGGAGAAGCCCUUGGCUCCUGGCUUCAGCCUGGCCUAGCCCUGGCCAUUGUGGCCACUUGACGGGGUGAACCAGUAAAUGGAAGAUCUCUCUGCCUCUGCCUCUGCCUCUGCCUCUCCCUCUCUGUACUCUGCCUUUCAAAUAAAUAAAUAAAUCUUUUUAAAAAAGGUAGAUUUCUCAGCUAGUUGCAGCUUCCAAGUAAAGAAUUAUAAUAAUAUUUAAGAUUGAAGUAUAUCUGAAAAGAGGUAUCACAUCAAGUGAAGAUAUUAUUCUAAUCAAUUGAUUAUCAAGUUUUCUAAUGCUAGAUCCUGAUGUUUCAGGGUUGGAGGUUUUUUUUUUUUUUUUUUUUUGGACAGGCAGAGUGGACAGUGAGAGAGAGAGGCAGAGAGAAAGGUCUUCCUUUGCCAUUGGUUCACCCUCCAAUGGCUGCCACGGCUGGCGCGCUGCGGCCGGCGCACCAUGUUGAUCCGAUGGCAGGAGCCAGGUGCUUCUCCUGGUCUCCCAUGGGGUGCAGGGCCCAAGGACUUGGGCCAUCCUCCACUGCACUCCCUGGCCACAGCAGAGAGCUGGCCUGGAAGAGGGGCAACCGGGACAGAAUCCGGCGCCCCGACCGGGACUAGAACCUGGUGUGCUGGCGCCGCUAGGCGGAGGAUUAGCCUAGUGAGCCGCGGCGCCGGCCCAGGGUUGGAGUUUUAACACUUCAUGGUUCUUUUAACUUUUUAAAAAAAUAUUUACUUUUAUUAUUAAUUUUUGUUUGAAAAAGUGCCAGAGAGGAAGGGAGUAGAAGAAAAAGAGUAAGAGUAAGAAAGAGAAAGAGACUGACCUUCUGUCUGCUGGCUCACUCCCCAAAUGGCCAUAAUGACCAGGGUUAGGCCAGGCCAAAGUCAGGAGCCUGACACACUAUUUCGAUCUUCCACAUGGGAAUCAGGACCACAGUUACUUAGGCUAUCUAACAGGGGACUGUAUUGGAAGCCAUAUGGGAUGCUGACAUCCUAAGUAGCAGCUGAGCCCACUGUGCCACAGCACCAGCCGUCACCUCACAGUUCUUAGAGUCUGAUGACAUAAACCUUACAAACAAGAAUUUCAUUUAAAUGUGGCAUUCUUUUAGAGAAAACACAAGAACUGGCAUUUUCUUUAUUAAGCUUAUUAAUUUUUAAAAUUUUUAUUUGUUUGAACAAUACACAUACACACAAACAGAGAUUCACUCCCCAAAUGUCUGCAUUAGCUGGGGCUUGGCCAAACUGAAACCAGAAGCCUGGAACUCAAUCUGGACUCAUGUGGGUAGCAGGGACCCAAAUACUUAAGUUAUCUCCCAUUUCCAGGAAGCUGGAAUUAGAACUGGAGUGUUUGUCACACACAGGCACUCCAUAUGGAAUGUGGGCAUCUUACUGUGCCAGGUGCCCAGGACUAGGAUUUAAAUGAGCAUUUAUGUCAAAGGCUUGAUGUACUAUUUAUUUGUGGUGUCUUUUUAAUCCCCAUAAAUUUUCGUACCGGGAUUAUUAUACCUGUUUUGUGGAGUAGAGAACUGAGGCUGAGACUCAGUACCUUGUACAGGCAUAUGUAAAGCAUACAUAAAAGGGCCACAAAGGGACUGCAGGUCAGUAUAAAGCAGUAACUCUCAAACUAUUUCUUAACCUGAGAAUUUGAUGGCUCCAUGCCCAACAUGUCUUUCCUUGCUUAGUUAUUAAAGAUUGUUCUUUAUUUGUACCACUUUAGAAUAUUAUUCAUGGAUUUCUGUAACUUUAAAUCAGGAACCCAAUAUUUCUUUUAAAUUUUCAAUAGUGAAAAAUAUAUUUUACUCUUAUUUCAUUAAAUCCAUUAUGGCAUUGAUCAAAAGACAUACCAUUGGACUGUGUUAGGAAGAAAAAUGCUAUCAGUUUAACUAUGAUGUAAUGGCUUGAAGAUAGUCCUACAUGUUGUAUGAAUCAGUCACAUUACUAUUCAUUUUCUUUCACCAAUUCCAAGCAAUUUAGCAAUUUCUUCUGUUUCAGUUCCUGGACGUGGCAUUUGAUGGGCAAACUCUUUUGUAUGUACCUUAAUAACAAAUCCUAAAACAACUUUAUAUACUUCUGGGUAUUUUAUUUUCUUAAGUUUUACAAAGCACAUGGUUAUUGUUUAUAAGGAAAUAUGGGGCUUUAGUCAUUCCUGAUAUGAUAUUUGUUUCGCUAAAAUGAAAUUUAUUGCCUACUGCUCAAUUUUCGUAUAUUUAUGCAAAUGUAGUGACUUACACAUUAAUCCUGAAUCACAGUAUAAUCUUUUAGAAGACAUCUUAAAGGAAAAAAAAACUCAACACUUAUAGCAGCAAAAAUAUUCUAAACUUAGAGGGAGUGACAACAUAUUUGGGAUCAAGACAAUGACAACCAUAUCAAACUGGCUAUCUGCCCAGCAGUGAUUGCAACCUGUCAAUGAAUGUAAGACUCACCCCAGUUUCAGAAUAAUUAAAAUGAGAAAACCUGUAUUUCUUUGAAGUAAGGAAGUAAGGAGAUAUCGGACAUGGUUUUUCAUAGACUGUUUUCUGCCUCUCAGAACCUGAUCAAGUCCCAGCUCUUUCAUUCUUGAGGCACACCUUCCCAUACCUCUCAUCCUGCAGAGAAAUACUGCUGUGUAUUAUACCUCUAUCCACUAGGAUAAAUCCCUUCCUCCACUCUGUAUCUUAGCAUUUACCCCAAGGUUUUUUUUAUAAAUGGACAGAAAAUUAAAUUUUUCUUUUUCCUCUUAGGGAAAGAAAAUCUAAUCACAUUUCCAACUUAUUACAGUGUAUGUUCCCCAUUUACAUUGUACCAUGGUCAUAUAUAGUACUGUGCUAAUAGAUGGAGUGAGCAAAAAAGAUUUUAAUUCAUAUUAGUUGAUUUAAUUCAUCACUAAACUUUCUAAGGAACUUCAUAAUUUACAUAUAAGAAUUAUUUUUCACUAUCAAACAUUUUUUGGGAAGACAUUUUCCUGUAUAAUGAAUGAAUACUUUUUUGUGACAUGAAAAAUAAGCAGUAUUUGGGGUCAGAAAUGAAAAUAGUCAGGGAGUUUGGCACAUGCUCACUUGGACUUACCCCUAAUGAUAGAGCUAGAAACAUGCCAGGGGAUUUCAAUUCAACCCCAUCAAGGUGGCAUGUAUCAAUGCCAUCUUACUUGUUAAAGUUAUCAGUUUCAGUUCAUAAUUGAUCAAAAAGAUAGGGUUAAGUGUCAAAGGGAUUACAUAAAUAAGACCAGUAUCUGCAAAUAAUAAUUGAUAGAAUUAAAAAGGAGAGUAUGAUCCUACAUGGGAAGCAGGAUACACAGCAGACUCAUAGAAUGGCAAAUGCCCUAAACAGCAUUCUGGCCUCAGAAUCAUCCCUUAAGGCAUUCGGAUCUGGCUAAAAAGCCCAUGAGAGUUUCGCAGGCAUGGAAAGCCAAGACACUGUGGCUUUUAUUACAAAAAA